GUGGGGAAUAUUGCACAAUGGGCGCAAGCCUGAUGCAGCAACGCCGCGUGCGGGAAGAAGGCCUUAGGGUUGUAAACCGCUUUCAGCAGGGAAGAAAAUGACGGUACCUGCAGAAGAAGGUGCGGCCAACUACGUGCCAGCAGCCGCGGUGACACGUAGGCACCAAGCGUUGUCCGGAUUUAUUGGGCGUAAAGAGCUCGUAGGCGGUUCAGUAAGUCGGGUGUGAAAACUCUGGGCUCAACUCAGAGACGCCACCCGAUACUGCUGUGACUAGAGUACGGUAGGGGAGUGGGGAAUUCCUGGUGUAGCGGUGAAAUGCGCAGAUAUCAGGAGGAACACCAGUGGCGAAGGCGCCACUCUGGGCCGUAACUGACGCUGAGGAGCGAAAGCGUGGGGAGCAAACAGGAUUAGAAACCCUUGUAGUCC
This 426-nucleotide ribosomal RNA is filed under the name uncultured bacterium. RNAcentral's name for it is "bacterial SSU rRNA". It matches the Rfam family "Bacterial small subunit ribosomal RNA", at positions 354 to 796 of the family's 1533-position model. The record is from RNAcentral.